UAGGGAAUAUUGGACAAUGGGCGCAAGCCUGAUCCAGCCAUGCCGCGUGAGUGAAGAAGGCCCUCGGGUUGUAAAGCUCCUUUGUCCGGAAAGAAAAGCUUUGGGUUAAUACCCCGAAGUCCUGACGGUACCGGAAGAAUAAGCACCGGCUAACUUCGUGCCAGCAGCCGCGGUAAUACGAAGGGUGCAAGCGUUACUCGGAAUUACUGGGCGUAAAGCGUGCGUAGGUGGUUCGUUAAGUCUGAUGUGAAAGCCCUGGGCUCAACCUGGGAAUGGCAUUGGAUACUGGCGGGCUAGAGUGCGGUAGAGGGCAGUGGAAUUCCCGGUGUAGCAGUGAAAUGCGUAGAGAUCGGGAGGAACAUCUGUGGCGAAGGCGACUGCCUGGACCAGCACUGACACUGAGGCACGAAAGCGUGGGGAGCAAACAGG
RNAcentral lists this ribosomal RNA (429 nucleotides) under Acidobacteriota bacterium. RNAcentral's name for it is "Acidobacteria bacterium partial 16S ribosomal RNA". It matches the Rfam family "Bacterial small subunit ribosomal RNA", at positions 355 to 776 of the family's 1533-position model. Lineage: Bacteria; Pseudomonadati; Acidobacteriota. The record is from RNAcentral.